UACGUAGGGUGCGAGCGUUGUCCGGAAUUAUUGGGCGUAAAGAGCUUGUAGGCGGUUUGUCGCGUCUGCUGUGAAAAUCCGGGGCUCAACCCCGGACUUGCAGUGGGUACGGGCAGACUAGAGUGUGGUAGGGGAGACUGGAAUUCCUGGUGUAGCGGUGGAAUGCGCAGAUAUCAGGAGGAACACCGAUGGCGAAGGCAGGUCUCUGGGCCGCAACUGACGCUGAGGAGCGAAAGCAUGGGGAGCGAACAGG
Molecule: ribosomal RNA, 253 nt
Filed under: uncultured bacterium
Lineage: Bacteria
Description: partial 16S ribosomal RNA
Rfam family: Bacterial small subunit ribosomal RNA
Source: RNAcentral